UACGUAGGGCGCGAGCGUUGUCCGGAAUUAUUGGGCGUAAAGAGCUCGUAGGCGGCCGGUUGCGUCUGCUGUGAAAUCCCGGGGCUUAACCCCGGGCGUGCAGUGGAUACGGGCCGGCUGGAGGCAGGCAGGGGAGAAUGGAAUUCCCGGUGUAGCGGUGAAAUGCGCAGAUAUCGGGAGGAACACCGGUGGCGAAGGCGGUUCUCUGGGCCUUACCUGACGCUGAGGAGCGAAAGCGUGGGGAGCGAACAGG
This 253-nucleotide ribosomal RNA is filed under the name uncultured bacterium. Its description in RNAcentral is "partial 16S ribosomal RNA". It matches the Rfam family "Bacterial small subunit ribosomal RNA", at positions 524 to 776 of the family's 1533-position model. The record is from RNAcentral.